This 72-nucleotide transfer RNA is filed under the name Candidatus Moraniibacteriota bacterium. Its description in RNAcentral is "tRNA-Asn". It matches the Rfam family "tRNA". From Rfam's summary of the family: Transfer RNA (tRNA) molecules are approximately 80 nucleotides in length. Their secondary structure includes four short double-helical elements and three loops (D, anti-codon, and T loops). Lineage: Bacteria; Candidatus Moraniibacteriota. The record is from RNAcentral.
UCCGCGAUAGCUCAACGGUAGAGCGAAGGACUGUUAAUCCUCAGGUUCCAGGUUCGAAUCCUGGUCGCGGAG